This 1167-nucleotide long non-coding RNA is filed under the name Anser cygnoides (Swan goose). RNAcentral describes it as "lncRNA (ENSACDG00005006013.1)". The record is from RNAcentral. Lineage: Eukaryota; Metazoa; Chordata; Aves; Anseriformes; Anatidae.
CGGAUCGGUUAGCUCAGAAGGGGAGCUUACGGGUGGCACAGCGCCAGAUCACCCCAGAGACUGAACUUAUCGCCUCCCCCCGGGGCCGGGCCGGGCCUUGCCUUGCCUUCCCCUGAAGUGCUGCCCGCUCAGGUACCGCAGCACGGCCACGUUCAGCUUCCCCAUGGCGGCCGCACCCUCACCCUCAGCGCAAGCCUGACGGGCCUCACGCGGACACACCGCGCAUGCGCAUCCCCCCUCCCCCGCUCUACUGCUCCGCCCGAACCGGCGGAGCCCGUUUUGGGUCCUGGCAGCUGCAUAUAGACGCGUGUCCUCGGAUGGAUCUUCGCACACGGAGCUGGUAACAAGGUCACUAACGACUCAAAAUCGAGAGAGCAUAAGUCUCUACCCCUUGGUGAUGGCUUAACACCUCGCUCUACUCUAAAGGAGUUAAUUGAGUUGCGUGUGCAUCUGCCCAGACCGACUCCAGUGGGAACACCACCCACGGCACGAACCAUCGAGAGAACUGCCCCCGGCUGCAACUGCGCCUGCGCGGCGCCCGGCCACAGCCAUGGGGCUGUGUGGGGGAAGGCUCCCAGUGCGCCUGCGCCUGGCAGCCCCGCUCAGUGCGCACGCAGAGGGGAGUGGGGGCGGGCCGUUUCGAGCCCCGGAGGCUGCGUGUUCGAGUCCCGGGAGCGGCGUGCUCGAGCUCCAGGAGCCGCCGGUUCGAAUCCUUGCGGCGGACACAGGCCGUGAAGUGCGGCCUUUGCUGAGGAAUCCCGUUAUUGUUAUAAAGACAGGUAUGUUUCUGCAAAGUAGGUAAGAUUUUUAAAAUGAGUUUGUUUUGGCAUGUGGUUUUCAUGGAAAUACAGACCUGGGUCUGUAUUCUGGAGUGGCUCUUCAGGGGUCACCCAAACACACCAUGAAUAUUAUUUACCAGUAAAACAGCUUGACCAUGGCAACUGCCAGGUGCCCACCCAGCCUCCUCUAACCUCCCACACCCUCUCCUUGACAGGGCAGGGUGGAAAAGCUCAUGGACCGCGAUGAGAACAUGGGGAUCACUUACCAGUUACCAUCGUGGGAAAAAAAAAAAAAAAAAUUUUAGUUUGUUGCCUAUUAAAAAUAGAGUGGGAUGGUGAGAAACAAAACAAAACCAGCUUCCCCUCACCCCCUCCUUCUUUCCAGGCU